Molecule: long non-coding RNA, 299 nt
Organism: Peromyscus leucopus (white-footed mouse)
Lineage: Eukaryota; Metazoa; Chordata; Mammalia; Rodentia; Cricetidae
Exons: 4
Source: RefSeq, a predicted model, not a curated record
AGAAGAAACUGCAGGAGGAGAUUGAUGUGGCUCUGCCCAAUAAGGCAUCUCCCAACUAUGAUGAACUGAUGGAGAUGGAGUACCUUGACAUGGGUCCUUAGUGAUGGUACCAAUUUAUGCUCUUCACCGUGACCCAGAGUACUGGCCAGAAGCCUGAGGAAUUUCACCCUGAAAGGCAAUAGAAUCCCAGGAGUGUGAACCCACCCUGAACCAUGUUCAGCAAGGAGAACAAGGGCAACAUCAAUCCUUAUGUAUACCUGCCCUUCGGCAACGGACCCAGGAACUGCCUUGGCAUGAGG